UGGAUUUAUUGCUACCGUAGACCGACCAAAGAACCUAACCGCAACCUUAUAAAAUGUAAGAUAGUAUUAAAUUACCAAUCAAUUACAACUUUACUUUGCUUAUGCUAUACAAGUGUCUUAAUCAUAUAUGUAUACCAAGGAAUCCAAUAAACAAAGUGCAAAUGCAUUUACAAAGAGAUGCUAAGUGGACCACAAAUGAGCAACUUUGUUUAUCCUUUACAAGGAAAGAAAGCAAUAAAAAUAUAAACAAGGGAUAAGGAGCUCUCCAAUCUUCUUUGCUUCUCUUCCCCAAGAAAAGAAUAAUAUUUUUUUUUCUUCCUUUUUCCCUUUUCUUCACCUUUCUUGCGGUGAUUUUAAAAACAUAAAAUCAUAAGAAAAAAAGUUUCUAUUAAAAAAAGAAAAUAAAAUUAAUCGAACAAUCACUUUACAGACUUUUCUUGACUAUAACCGUAAUAAGAGAGAUACCAUCUAACAAAUUUUCUCAACCCGGUUUGCAAAUCAGUUGUCGGUUUAUACCCGAGUUCUUUUCGAGCCGAGCUAAUAUUUGCAUGUGUAAAAGGAACGUCGCCGUUUCCUAGCAUAUCCACAGUAUGCUUCUUAGCUUUUACCUUCAAAUGCUUCUCCAACAUCCCAACCAUCAUCGGAACAGUCACCGGUGAAGUAUUACCCAAAUUAAAGAUCCGAUAAGUAGCGGGGCCUCGUUUCUUUCCACCCGACCCGGUGCUCUUCCCCGCAGUAUCUAAUGAUCCAACACACCCUUUCACAAUAUCAUCAAUGUAAGUAAAAUCCCGGGCCAAGUCAACCCGAUUCUUACCCCGGUAAAUUGUAAUCGGUUUUCCUUGUAAAGUAUUCCGGGUAAAUGAAAAAUAAGCCAUGUCGGGUCUGCCCCAUGGACUUUCCUUGUAAAAUAUUCCGGGUAAAUGAAAAAUAAGCCAUGUCGGGUCUGCCCCAUGGACCAUAAACAGUAAAAAACCUCAACCCAGUAAUUGAUAACCCGUAAAUGUGAUUGUACGUGUGAGUAAUUUCCUCACCAGCUUUCUUUGUUGCUGCAUACAAUGAAGCGGGUUGAUCAGUCCGAUCAGAUUCAGAAAACGGUACCUUUUCAUUUAACCCGU
This 1115-nucleotide long non-coding RNA is filed under the name Nicotiana benthamiana. Its description in RNAcentral is "long non-coding RNA (NBEN_LNC010743)". Lineage: Eukaryota; Viridiplantae; Streptophyta; Magnoliopsida; Solanales; Solanaceae. The record is from RNAcentral.